UUGGCAGGACGAUCUGUCGCGGGGUUUCGGCCCUGAGGAAAGUCCGCACAGGAAAGGGCACCCGGCUGUGGAAAGCACAGUAGGGAGUAAUCUUUAAGCAGCGUAACAGAAAAUUACCGCCGGUGUUUUUGUUUUUUUUUCUCCGGUAAGGGUGAAAACGCGGGGUAAGAGCCCACGACGUUGCAAGGCGACUUGCAGCGGGUACGUUGCCCGGGCCUGCAAGACCAAAUAUACCGGCAGUUGAGGGCGGCCCGCCUGAUGCCGGGGGGUAGGUUGCGAAGAUAAAUGACAGAUUCAAAAACAGAAAGCGGCUUACGGCCCUGCCAACUUU
Molecule: RNase P RNA, 331 nt
Filed under: Bacteroidales bacterium
Lineage: Bacteria; Pseudomonadati; Bacteroidota; Bacteroidia; Bacteroidales
Description: RNase P RNA component class A
Rfam family: Bacterial RNase P class A
About the family: Ribonuclease P (RNase P) is a ubiquitous endoribonuclease, found in archaea, bacteria and eukarya as well as chloroplasts and mitochondria. Its best characterised activity is the generation of mature 5'-ends of tRNAs by cleaving the 5'-leader elements of precursor-tRNAs. Cellular RNase Ps are ribonucleoproteins.
Source: RNAcentral